CGGGACGUAGCUCAGCUUGGUAGAGCGCUAUCUUGGGGUGGUAGAGGUCGCAGGUUCAAAUCCUGUCGUUCCGACCA
Molecule: transfer RNA, 77 nt
Filed under: Selenomonadales bacterium
Lineage: Bacteria; Bacillati; Bacillota; Negativicutes; Selenomonadales
Description: tRNA-Pro
Rfam family: tRNA
About the family: Transfer RNA (tRNA) molecules are approximately 80 nucleotides in length. Their secondary structure includes four short double-helical elements and three loops (D, anti-codon, and T loops).
Source: RNAcentral